RNAcentral lists this ribosomal RNA (732 nucleotides) under cyanobacterium enrichment culture clone CAWBG82. RNAcentral's name for it is "bacterial SSU rRNA". It matches the Rfam family "Bacterial small subunit ribosomal RNA", at positions 52 to 829 of the family's 1533-position model. Lineage: Bacteria; Bacillati; Cyanobacteriota. The record is from RNAcentral.
CACAUGCAAGUCGAACGGACUCUUCGGAGUUAGUGGCGGACGGGUGAGUAACGCGUGAGAAUCUGCCUUCAGGUCGGGGACAACAGUUGGAAACGACUGCUAAUACCCGAUGUGCAGCAAUGUGAAAGAUUUAUUGCCUGAAGAUGAGCUCGCGUCUGAUUAGCUAGUAGGUGUGGUAAUGGCGCACCUAGGCGACGAUCAGUAACUGGUCUGAGAGGAUGACCAGUCACACUGGGACUGAGACACGGCCCAGACUCCUACGGGAGGCAGCAGUGGGGAAUUUUCCGCAAUGGGCGAAAGCCUGACGGAGCAAUACCGCGUGAGGGACGACGGCUUUUGGGUUGUAAACCUCUUUUCCCUGGGAAGAAGAUCUGACGGUACCAGGGGAAUCAGCAUCGGCUAACUUCGUGCCAGCAGCCGCGGUAAUACGAGGGAUGCAAGCGUUAUCCGGAAUUAUUGGGCGUAAAGCGUCCGCAGGUGGCUCUGUAAGUCUGUCGUUAAAGAAUGGAGCUUAACUCCAUACAGGCGAUGGAAACUACAAGGCUAGAGUUUGGUAGGGGUCACGGGAAUUCUUAGUGUAGCGGUGAAAUGCGUAGAUAUUAAGAAGAACACCAGCGGCGAAAGCGCGUGACUGGGCCAGUACUGACACUCAUGGACGAAAGCUAGGGGAGCGAAAGGGAUUAGAUACCCCUGUAGUCCUAGCCGUAAACGAUGAUAACUAGGUGUUGCUCG